Molecule: ribosomal RNA, 473 nt
Filed under: uncultured bacterium
Lineage: Bacteria
Description: bacterial SSU rRNA
Rfam family: Bacterial small subunit ribosomal RNA
Source: RNAcentral
AGGGUUCGAUUAUGGCUCAGAACGUACGCUGGCGGCACGCCUUAUACAUGCAAGUCGAACGCAGUAGCAAUACUGAGUGGCAGACGGGUGAGUAUAAUGUGGGAAUCUGCCUUUUGGUUUGGAAUAACUCGGGGAAACCUGAGCUAAUACUGGAUAAGCCCUUACGGGGAAAGCUUUAUGCGCCAAAAGAUGAGCCCGCACUUGAUUAGCUUGUUGGUGAGGUAAAAGCUCACCAAGGCAACGAUCAAUAGCUGUUCUUAGAGGAAGACCAGCCACAUUGGGACUGAGACACGGCCCAGACUCCUACGGGAGGCAGCAGUAAGGAAUCUUGCACAAUGGGGGAAACCCUGAUGCAGCGAUGCCGCGUGAGUGAAGAAGGCCUUUGGGUUGUAAAACUCUUUCGUCGGGGAAGAAAAUGACUGUACCCGAAUAAGAAGGUCCGGCUAACUUCGUGCCAGCCGCCGCGGUAAUUC